UUGAACGCUGGCGGCAGGCCUAACACAUGCAAGUCGAGCGGAUGAAGGGAGCUUGCUCCUGGAUUCAGCGGCGGACGGGUGAGUAAUGCCUAGGAAUCUGCCUGGUAGUGGGGGAUAACGUCCGGAAACGGGCGCUAAUACCGCAUACGUCCUGAGGGAGAAAGUGGGGGAUCUUCGGACCUCACGCUAUCAGAUGAGCCUAGGUCGGAUUAGCUAGUUGGUGGGGUAAAGGCCUACCAAGGCGACGAUCCGUAACUGGUCUGAGAGGAUGAUCAGUCACACUGGAACUGAGACACGGUCCAGACUCCUACGGGAGGCAGCAGUGGGGAAUAUUGGACAAUGGGCGAAAGCCUGAUCCAGCCAUGCCGCGUGUGUGAAGAAGGUCUUCGGAUUGUAAAGCACUUUAAGUUGGGAGGAAGGGCAGUAAGUUAAUACCUUGCUGUUUUGACGCUACCAACAGAAUAAGCACCGGCUAACUUCGUG
This 483-nucleotide ribosomal RNA is filed under the name uncultured bacterium. RNAcentral's name for it is "partial 16S ribosomal RNA". It matches the Rfam family "Bacterial small subunit ribosomal RNA", at positions 30 to 507 of the family's 1533-position model. The record is from RNAcentral.